CAGCCGUAAACUAUGCGCGUUAGGUGUAUCGGUGACCACGAGUCACCGAGGUGCCGAAGGGAAACCGUGAAACGUGCCGCCUGGGAAGUACGGCCGCAAGGCUGAAACUUAAAGGAAUUGGCGGGGGAGGCACAACAACGGGUGGGAGCCUGCGGUUUAAUUGGACUCAACGCCGGACAACUCACCGGGAACGACAGCAAUAAUGUAGGCCAGGCUGAAGACCUUGCCUGAAUCGCUGAGAGGAGGUGCAUGGCGUAGACGUCU
This 264-nucleotide ribosomal RNA is filed under the name uncultured archaeon. RNAcentral describes it as "partial 16S ribosomal RNA". It matches the Rfam family "Archaeal small subunit ribosomal RNA", at positions 748 to 1009 of the family's 1478-position model. The record is from RNAcentral.